UACGUAGGAUCCAAGCGUUGUCCGGAUUUACUGGGUGUAAAGGGUGCGCAGGCGGACUUGUUAGUCAGGGGUGAAAUCUCACAGCUUAACUGUGAAACUGCCUUUGAUACUGCAGGUCUUGAAUUGGGGAGAGAGUUGUGGAAUUCCGAGUGUAGCAGUGAAAUGUGUAGAUAUUCGGAAGAACACCAGUGGCGAAGGCAGCAACUUGGCCCCACAUUGACGCUCAGGCACGAAAGCAUGGGGAUCAAACAGG
This 253-nucleotide ribosomal RNA is filed under the name uncultured bacterium. RNAcentral's name for it is "partial 16S ribosomal RNA". It matches the Rfam family "Bacterial small subunit ribosomal RNA", at positions 524 to 776 of the family's 1533-position model. The record is from RNAcentral.